UAUAUAUAGUACUUUGAUCAGUGACAGUGCAUGAGUACAAUAUUAAUGCUACCCAAACCAAUGAAUUCCACCAAAUCAAUGAUAAAAAAAUAACAAGGAUGUGUAAAAGGUAAAAGUAUGUGAAAGGAGAAUUAUUGUUAAGGUAUACAAUAAAAAAUGAGCCAAUCAUAAUUAUAUAUUGAACUCAUAUCUAUUGGAAUAUAAUUUGAGACUCCUUAUUUACAAGUUGAAGUUUUGUUUUUGAAGAAGAUGGCAAGGUAUUUUAGAAUUGAGUAUUAUGUUUGAGGAAAGCUGUACUUAUACAUGAAAUAAUAAACGUACCCUAAAUUUGGAAAAAUAAAUUUCAUUUAGAUGAUUCAAAUAAGAAAGGGUAGCUCUAUUCACACACUUUUUUUU
Molecule: long non-coding RNA, 396 nt
Filed under: Malus domestica (apple)
Lineage: Eukaryota; Viridiplantae; Streptophyta; Magnoliopsida; Rosales; Rosaceae
Description: long non-coding RNA (MDOM_LNC016061)
Source: RNAcentral